GAGUUUGAUCGUGGCUCAGGAUGAACGCCGGCGGUGUGCCUAAUACAUGCAAGUCGUACGCACUGGCCCAACUGAUUGAUGGUGCUUGCACCUGAUCGACGAUGGAUCACCAGUGAGUGGCGGACGGGUGAGUAACACGUAGGUAACCUGCCCUGUACAGGGGGAUAACAAUCAGAAAUGACUGCUAAUACCGCAUAAGACCACAGCACCGCAUGGUGCAGGGGUAAAAACUCCGGUGGUACAGGAUGGACCCGCGUCUGAUUAGCUGGUUGGUGAGGUAACGGCUCACCAAGGCGACGAUCAGUAGCCGGCUUGAGAGAGUGAACGGCCACAUUGGGACUGAGACACGGCCCAAACUCCUACGGGAGGCAGCAGUGGGGAAUAUUGCACAAUGGGGAAACCCUGAUGCAGCAACGCCGCGUGAGUGAAGAAGUAUUUCGGUAUGUAAAGCUCUAUCAGCAGGGAAGAAAGUGACGGUACCUGACUAAGAAGCCCGGCUAACUACG
RNAcentral lists this ribosomal RNA (506 nucleotides) under uncultured microorganism. RNAcentral describes it as "bacterial SSU rRNA". It matches the Rfam family "Bacterial small subunit ribosomal RNA", at positions 9 to 505 of the family's 1533-position model. The record is from RNAcentral.